Bombus pyrosoma is the source of this 1370-nucleotide long non-coding RNA. RefSeq lists it as uncharacterized. The record is from RefSeq and is a predicted model, not a curated record. The transcript is spliced from 4 exons. Lineage: Eukaryota; Metazoa; Arthropoda; Insecta; Hymenoptera; Apidae.
ACAGGUCAGCAGCACGUGAAAUUGUACUUCGAGAAGGGACGUCAAAGUGGAAAGAGACCGACGUGCAUUAAGACGAGAAUAAAUUCCAACAGAGUCGAGAGACAUUUACAGGAUGGAGAGAAAGAGAGAGUGGUUGGUGGAGCGUAAGGUAGGUGAAAAGUCCGUUCUGUGUGAAUAGGUUCUGGAGGAAUAUAGUAGUAUUCUUGACCAUUCUCGGUGACACGCGCUCCGCUACCACUUUCUAUACAAUGUUUCCUGCUCAAGGAUUUUACGGCAGAAGCUUGUUGACGUUGAACGUGUUACGUAAAAUCACAAGUCACAAAUAUUAAAGUUAUUUUUAUUACACUGUAUUAUUCGCUUAAAUAUUAUACACUUAGGCGACUGAUCUAGUCUUCGAAAAAUGAAAACUAAGUGAAGCUUAGUGACGAUGAUGUGACGGAGGGGGGAAAGCGAUGAGUGGGUUUAAGGACGCAAAACGAGCUGAUUUGUUAAGGACAAGUUCUCAUUAGGAAAGUGAGGGAAAUAGAUCACUGCUAAUUGGCCGAUUUUCUAGGUGAGGUGAGGGAUUGGUGGGUGAGGAAGGGUGUUUAUCUUCCGAAAUAAACCGAUGUUAACCGAGAUAAAAGAUGUUUGUUUUUGUAUUGAAGGAGCUUAACCAUAAACAUGCCAAGAUUUAUGGUGGUGCCUUAAGAAUAUUGAGAGUACGUAAAAAGGAUUUGGUCGCCAUCUUGCUCCUCGGUGUGCGGCCUGGUUUCUGAUGUGGAUUAAGAUGUGGUUGAUGUUACUAACGAACCAUCCUUAGGAAAUUAUUUUCGAGACGCUCGGGGCGAGAACGAUCCUAAGGAGUGCUCGUAUCGUUGUAGCAGUAUGACGAAAAGGUCAAAGUGGGCGCAUCGAUCUUCAGAUAUCUUCCAGAGUGGAAGCCAGUCAAAGGUCAGAAUAAAGCAACCGGAGUAAAUGCGGCUAAACAGAAUCGGUUAUGUGAAUGAAGCCUUAGUAAAGCAAUACUGUGGAUGCUUUUAUUUCUUCGAUGUAAAAGGGAACGCCAUGCUUUCUACCUUCCUCCGUAACAGGUAUAAAGCGGAUAACAGGUAAAAUGGAAAGAGACAUUUUAUACGCGCGAUACUGGCAACUGGAAGCCUCGUUUCCGACACCCGGUAUCUUUAGAAAUAUCGAUGGUGUGACAAUGAUCAUACCCAAAUUCAUGCCAUUCCAUACUACUUGGCAGAGAACCGUUAGGUUUUGAUUUGAUCUUUGCACAUGGCCCAACUUUACAAUUACCCCAUUGCGCAUUGCAAGCGUUCGACCAUGAGACUAGUCUUGUGCACAGUUUGGCUAUGAUUUGAACAACUAUUUUAACUUCGCUACUU